UUAAGCGACUAAGCGUACACGGUGGAUGCCCUGGCAGUCAGAGGCGAUGAAGGACGUGCUAAUCUGCGAUAAGCGUCGGUAAGGUGAUAUGAACCGUUAUAACCGGCGAUUUCCGAAUGGGGAAACCCAGUGUGUUUCGACACACUAUCAUUAACUGAAUCCAUAGGUUAAUGAGGCGAACCGGGGGAACUGAAACAUCUAAGUACCCCGAGGAAAAGAAAUCAACCGAGAUUCCCCCAGUAGCGGCGAGCGAACGGGGAGCAGCCCAGAGCCUGAAUCAGUGUGUGUGUUAGUGGAAGCGUCUGGAAAGGCGCGCGAUACAGGGUGACAGCCCCGUACACAAAAAUGCACAUGCUGUGAGCUCGAUGAGUAGGGCGGGACACGUGGUAUCCUGUCUGAAUAUGGGGGGACCAUCCUCCAAGGCUAAAUACUCCUGACUGACCGAUAGUGAACCAGUACCGUGAGGGAAAGGCGAAAAGAACCCCGGCGAGGGGAGUGAAAAAGAACCUGAAACCGUGUACGUACAAGCAGUGGGAGCACGCUUAGGCGUGUGACUGCGUACCUUUUGUAUAAUGGGUCAGCGACUUAUAUUCUGUAGCAAGGUUAACCGAAUAGGGGAGCCGAAGGGAAACCGAGUCUUAACUGGGCGUUAAGUUGCAGGGUAUAGACCCGAAACCCGGUGAUCUAGCCAUGGGCAGGUUGAAGGUUGGGUAACACUAACUGGAGGACCGAACCGACUAAUGUUGAAAAAUUAGCGGAUGACUUGUGGCUGGGGGUGAAAGGCCAAUCAAACCGGGAGAUAGCUGGUUCUCCCCGAAAGCUAUUUAGGUAGCGCCUCGUGAAUUCAUCUCCGGGGGUAGAGCACUGUUUCGGCAAGGGGGUCAUCCCGACUUACCAACCCGAUGCAAACUGCGAAUACCGGAGAAUGUUAUCACGGGAGACACACGGCGGGUGCUAACGUCCGUCGUGAAGAGGGAAACAACCCAGACCGCCAGCUAAGGUCCCAAAGUCAUGGUUAAGUGGGAAACGAUGUGGGAAGGCCCAGACAGCCAGGAUGUUGGCUUAGAAGCAGCCAUCAUUUAAAGAAAGCGUAAUAGCUCACUGGUCGAGUCGGCCUGCGCGGAAGAUGUAACGGGGCUAAACCAUGCACCGAAGCUGCGGCAGCGACACUAUGUGUUGUUGGGUAGGGGAGCGUUCUGUAAGCCUGUGAAGGUGUGCUGUGAGGCAUGCUGGAGGUAUCAGAAGUGCGAAUGCUGACAUAAGUAACGAUAAAGCGGGUGAAAAGCCCGCUCGCCGGAAGACCAAGGGUUCCUGUCCAACGUUAAUCGGGGCAGGGUGAGUCGACCCCUAAGGCGAGGCCGAAAGGCGUAGUCGAUGGGAAACAGGUUAAUAUUCCUGUACUUGGUGUUACUGCGAAGGGGGGACGGAGAAGGCUAUGUUGGCCGGGCGACGGUUGUCCCGGUUUAAGCGUGUAGGCUGGUUUUCCAGGCAAAUCCGGAAAAUCAAGGCUGAGGCGUGAUGACGAGGCACUACGGUGCUGAAGCAACAAAUGCCCUGCUUCCAGGAAAAGCCUCUAAGCAUCAGGUAACAUCAAAUCGUACCCCAAACCGACACAGGUGGUCAGGUAGAGAAUACCAAGGCGCUUGAGAGAACUCGGGUGAAGGAACUAGGCAAAAUGGUGCCGUAACUUCGGGAGAAGGCACGCUGAUAUGUAGGUGAAGUCCCUCGCGGAUGGAGCUGAAAUCAGUCGAAGAUACCAGCUGGCUGCAACUGUUUAUUAAAAACACAGCACUGUGCAAACACGAAAGUGGACGUAUACGGUGUGACGCCUGCCCGGUGCCGGAAGGUUAAUUGAUGGGGUUAGCCGCAAGGCGAAGCUCUUGAUCGAAGCCCCGGUAAACGGCGGCCGUAACUAUAACGGUCCUAAGGUAGCGAAAUUCCUUGUCGGGUAAGUUCCGACCUGCACGAAUGGCGUAAUGAUGGCCAGGCUGUCUCCACCCGAGACUCAGUGAAAUUGAACUCGCUGUGAAGAUGCAGUGUACCCGCGGCAAGACGGAAAGACCCCGUGAACCUUUACUAUAGCUUGACACUGAACAUUGAGCCUUGAUGUGUAGGAUAGGUGGGAGGCUUUGAAGUGUGGACGCCAGUCUGCAUGGAGCCGACCUUGAAAUACCACCCUUUAAUGUUUGAUGUUCUAACGUGGACCCGUGAUCCGGGUUGCGGACAGUGUCUGGUGGGUAGUUUGACUGGGGCGGUCUCCUCCUAAAGAGUAACGGAGGAGCACGAAGGUUGGCUAAUCCUGGUCGGACAUCAGGAGGUUAGUGCAAUGGCAUAAGCCAGCUUGACUGCGAGCGUGACGGCGCGAGCAGGUGCGAAAGCAGGUCAUAGUGAUCCGGUGGUUCUGAAUGGAAGGGCCAUCGCUCAACGGAUAAAAGGUACUCCGGGGAUAACAGGCUGAUACCGCCCAAGAGUUCAUAUCGACGGCGGUGUUUGGCACCUCGAUGUCGGCUCAUCACAUCCUGGGGCUGAAGUAGGUCCCAAGGGUAUGGCUGUUCGCCAUUUAAAGUGGUACGCGAGCUGGGUUUAGAACGUCGUGAGACAGUUCGGUCCCUAUCUGCCGUGGGCGCUGGAGAACUGAGGGGGGCUGCUCCUAGUACGAGAGGACCGGAGUGGACGCAUCACUGGUGUUCGGGUUGUCAUGCCAAUGGCACUGCCCGGUAGCUAAAUGCGGAAGAGAUAAGUGCUGAAAGCAUCUAAGCACGAAACUUGCCCCGAGAUGAGUUCUCCCUGACCCUUUAAGGGUCCUGAAGGAACGUUGAAGACGACGACGUUGAUAGGCCGGGUGUGUAAGCGCAGCGAUGCGUUGAGCUAACCGGUACUAAUGAACCGUGAGGCUUAACCU
This 2902-nucleotide ribosomal RNA is filed under the name Escherichia coli. Its description in RNAcentral is "23S ribosomal RNA". It matches the Rfam family "Bacterial large subunit ribosomal RNA". Lineage: Bacteria; Pseudomonadati; Pseudomonadota; Gammaproteobacteria; Enterobacterales; Enterobacteriaceae. The record is from RNAcentral.